This is a long non-coding RNA of Varanus komodoensis (Komodo dragon), 250 nucleotides long. RefSeq lists it as uncharacterized. The transcript has 2 exons. The record is from RefSeq and is a predicted model, not a curated record. NCBI's taxonomy places the organism in Eukaryota, Metazoa, Chordata, Lepidosauria, Squamata, Varanidae.
GCAGGGCUUCCUUCCAUCAGAGACCCAGACUCUUCGGGAGCCGUCGCCAUGGGCUGGGCACUGGUCCUUUGCAUGCUUCUCACUUACUGGACAGGAGUCAGCGCACAACGAGUUGUAACUCAGCCUCCGUCGCAGUCCGCGUCUCCGGGCCAAACCGUUAAACUCUCCUGCACUGCAAGUCCUGCAGGAAACUGGUAUUUCGGCUGGGUCCGACAGCAGCCUGGGCAGCGUCCCCAGUUCGUGCUGUAUG